Molecule: ribosomal RNA, 448 nt
Filed under: uncultured bacterium
Lineage: Bacteria
Description: partial 16S ribosomal RNA
Rfam family: Bacterial small subunit ribosomal RNA
Source: RNAcentral
AACGAACGCCGGCGGCAGGCUUAACACAUGCAAGUCGAACGCAUCCUUCGGGGUGAGUGGCAGACGGGUGAGUAACGCGUGGGAACGUGCCCUUCAGUUCGGGAUAACCCAGGGAACCUUGGGCUAUUACCGGAUACGUGCGAGAGCAGAAAGAUUUAUCGCUGAAGGAUCGGCCCGCGUCUGAUUAGCUAGUUGGUGGGGUAAUGGCCCACCAAGGCGACGAUCAGUAGCUGGUCUGAGAGGAUGAUCAGCCACAUUGGGACUGAGACACGGCCCAAACUCCUACGGGAGGCAGCAGUGGGAAUAUUGGACAAUGGGCGCAAGCCUGAUCCAGCCAUGCCGCGGGAGUGAUGAAGGCCUUAGGGUUGUAAAGCUCUUUCGUCCGGGACGAUAAUGACGGUACCGGAAGAAGAAGCCCCGGCUAACUUCGUGCCAGCCGCCGCCGUAA